Molecule: ribosomal RNA, 494 nt
Filed under: uncultured bacterium
Lineage: Bacteria
Description: partial 16S ribosomal RNA
Rfam family: Bacterial small subunit ribosomal RNA
Source: RNAcentral
GAUGAACGCUGGCGGCGUGCCUAAUACAUGCAAGUCGAGCGAACAGACGAGGAGCUUGCUCCUCUGACGUUAGCGGCGGACGGGUGAGUAACACGUGGAUAACCUACCUAUAAGACUGGGAUAACUUCGGGAAACCGGAGCUAAUACCGGAUAAUAUAUUGAACCGCAUGGUUCAAUAGUGAAAGACGGUUUUGCUGUCACUUAUAGAUGGAUCCGCGCCGCAUUAGCUAGUUGGUAAGGUAACGGCUUACCAAGGCAACGAUGCGUAGCCGACCCGAGAGGGUGAUCGGCCACACUGGAACUGAGACACGGUCCAGACUCCUACGGGAGGCAGCAGUAGGGAAUCGUUCGCAAUGGGCGAAAGCCUGACGGAGCAACGCCGCGUGAGUGAUGAAGGUCUUCGGAUCGUAAAACUCUGUUAUUAGGGAAGAACAAAUGUGUAAGUAACUAUGCACGUCUUGACGGUACCUAAUCAGAAAGCCACGGCUAACUAC